Molecule: non-coding RNA, 351 nt
Organism: Stenotrophomonas terrae
Lineage: Bacteria; Pseudomonadati; Pseudomonadota; Gammaproteobacteria; Lysobacterales; Lysobacteraceae
Rfam family: Bacterial RNase P class A
About the family: Ribonuclease P (RNase P) is a ubiquitous endoribonuclease, found in archaea, bacteria and eukarya as well as chloroplasts and mitochondria. Its best characterised activity is the generation of mature 5'-ends of tRNAs by cleaving the 5'-leader elements of precursor-tRNAs.
Source: Rfam
GGAGUCGGCCAGACAGUCGCGUCAUUCCUUCGGGAAUGCCGAGGAAAGUCCGGGCUCCACAGGGCAAGGUGCCAGGUAACGCCUGGGCGGCGCAAGCCGACGGAAAGUGCAACAGAAAGAUACCGCCGAACGGCCUUCGGGCGCGUGGUAAGGGUGAAAUGGUGCGGUAAGAGCGCACCGCGAGUCUGGCAACAGACCGGUACGGCAAACCCCACCUGGAGCAAGACCAAAUAGGGACCUAAUGGCGUGGCCCGCGUCGGGUCCGGGUAGGUUGCUUGAGCGUUACGGUGACGUAGCGCCUAGAGGAAUGACUGUCCACGACAAAACCCGGCUUAUCGGCCGGCUCCGCCG